Molecule: non-coding RNA, 46 nt
Filed under: Podarcis lilfordi (Lilford's wall lizard)
Lineage: Eukaryota; Metazoa; Chordata; Lepidosauria; Squamata; Lacertidae
Rfam family: Histone 3' UTR stem-loop
About the family: The mRNAs of metazoan histone genes lack a poly-A tail.
Source: RNAcentral
CCAAAGGCCCUUUUCAGGGCCACCCACUUUUUCUUAAAAAGUGCUG